CGAAGGUUGACCCACCCAUUCAGCAAUCAGUUCAGAAUGGGCCUGGUGAUACUAAGAGCAGUUUCUUCUGAACAGGGAUACAGGUGUGGUCCAGCAGGUCUCAACCACUACAGGCUGCCUGAAGAAAAUUACAGGAGGCGAGAGAGACAAGACCAGUCACCCAUCACAAAUAAAAGAAAGCAACAGUGACUGGUCUUUACUUACAAGUUACUGCGAAGGCAAAGUUUCACACUGGAUUACUGCACAGAUCUGGAAUAAAUGCACACAAAGAUUCAAGAAAGCGCUCACCAAAUGAUGUUGCCAUCCACUCUCGUGUUUGGCAAAUAUCUCUUGUGUAUUAAAUUGAAGAGCUGUUAAUGGAUGCCAGAUUUCAUUGAGUUCCAAAUUCCACAUGUAAGGAUAAAAAUUGAAGACAGCCUCAAAGUGGAAAACAC
Long non-coding RNA from Rana temporaria (common frog), 434 nucleotides. RefSeq lists it as uncharacterized. Lineage: Eukaryota; Metazoa; Chordata; Amphibia; Anura; Ranidae. The transcript has 3 exons. The record is from RefSeq and is a predicted model, not a curated record.